AAAAAUUGGAACGAUACAGAGAAGAUUAGCAUGGCCCCUGUGCAAGGAUGACAUGCAAAUUUGUGAAGCGUUCCAUAAAAUA
Molecule: small nuclear RNA, 82 nt
Filed under: Tupaia belangeri (northern tree shrew)
Lineage: Eukaryota; Metazoa; Chordata; Mammalia; Scandentia; Tupaiidae
Source: RNAcentral